Chrysemys picta bellii (western painted turtle) is the source of this 671-nucleotide non-coding RNA. NCBI's taxonomy places the organism in Eukaryota, Metazoa, Chordata, Testudines, Emydidae. The record is from RefSeq and is a predicted model, not a curated record.
CACAUGGCAAUCACCUCUGGCUCAUUGUUAUCCCCGUUUUAUUGGAGUUCUCCUAUAACCCUGCUGCUUUCUCUGUGUGUGGCAGGCUUCUCCGAGGAAGACGAGGCACAGGGACAAAAGGAAGAAACCGAAAGGUUUUGGACGCUGUGAGAAAGGGUUGGAGGAGACUUGUGCACCCCUAGAGACAUGCUGCCUCAUGCACCUGGAGCAGCUCCCCUGGGCUCACCGCCUCAGGAUCAUUGAGAGGAAUAUUCAGUACCUGGCCAGACACCAGGAUGAAGUUCUGAUACCGCCGAGUGUGACGACAUCUGCGGUGAGCCAGUUCUCCUAUUUGUCUAUGGAAUGCAACCCCUCUUCCCUCUGGAGUCACAGCUCCUUUUCCCUGGGAGAAGCCUCCGUGACUCGGUCAGAGCCCCUCUGCCGCACAAGGGAGAUCGUGCCUGUCGCGGGCUGGGAAGGAUCCACUCAUCCCAUCCAAGCCCAACCUCUCCCCAGCCCUCCUGUCCACAGCAGACGAGACCGGCGAGAGCAGAUCACGGGUCUGGACCAGACGUCAGCCCAUGGCUCAGACUUCAACAUCCGACAGAAGCUUUUGGAGAGCCAACUGGGGGCACCUACCCUAUGCACUGAGUCGCUGGCCAAGGUGAUCCCUAAGGCCCCUGCUCUGUGCC